GAUGAACGCUGGCGGCGUGCCUAACACAUGCAAGUCGAGCGGAAAAUUGUUGCUUGCGUCAAUUCUUAGCGGCGGACGGGUGAGUAACACGUGGGUAACCUGCCCUAAACAAAGGGAUAACAAUUAGAAAUAAUUGCUAAUACAGCAUAAGCUUACACUAUCGCCUGAUAGAGUAAGAAAAGAUUUAUCGGUUUAGGAGGGGCCCGCGGCUGAUUAGCUAGUUGGAGGGGUAACGGCUCACCAAGGCGACGAUCAGUAGCCGACCUGAGAGGGUGAUCGGCCACAUUGGGACUGAGACACGGCCCAAACCCCUAGGGGAGGGAGGAGUGGGGAAUAUUGCACAAGGGAGGAAACUCUGAUGCAGCAACGCCGCGUGAAGGAAGAAGGUUUUCGGAGCGUAAACUUCUAUCUACAGGGAAGAAAAAAAUGACGGUACCUGAGUAAGAAGCCCCGGCUAACUACGUG
Molecule: ribosomal RNA, 465 nt
Filed under: uncultured bacterium
Lineage: Bacteria
Description: partial 16S ribosomal RNA
Rfam family: Bacterial small subunit ribosomal RNA
Source: RNAcentral